This 497-nucleotide ribosomal RNA is filed under the name uncultured bacterium. Its description in RNAcentral is "partial 16S ribosomal RNA". It matches the Rfam family "Bacterial small subunit ribosomal RNA", at positions 28 to 507 of the family's 1533-position model. The record is from RNAcentral.
GACGAACGCUGGCGGCGUGCCUAAUACAUGCAAGUUGAGCGCUGAAGGUUGGUACUUGUACCAACUGGAUGAGCAGCGAACGGGUGAGUAACGCGUGGGGAAUCUGCCUUUGAGCGGGGGACAACAUUUGGAAACGAAUGCUAAUACCGCAUAAAAACUUUAAACACAAGUUUUAAGUUUGAAAGAUGCAAUUGCAUCACUCAAAGAUGAUCCCGCGUUGUAUUAGCUAGUUGGUGAGGUAAAGGCUCACCAAGGCGAUGAUACAUGGCCGACCUGAGAGGGUGAUAGGCCACAUUGGGACUGAGACACGGCCCAAACUCCUACGGGAGGCAGCAGUAGGGAAUCUUCGGCAAUGGACGAAAGUCUGACCGAGCAACGCCGCGUGAGUGAAGAAGGUUUUCGGAUCGUAAAACUCUGUUGGUAGAGAAGAACGUUGGUGAGAGUGGAAAGCUCAUCAAGUGACGGUAACUACCCAGAAAGGGACGGCUAACUACGUG